CGGGGCGUAGCGCAGCUUGGUAGCGCGCUUCCUUGGGGUGGAAGAGGCCGUGGGUUCAAAUCCCGCCGCUCCGACCA
RNAcentral lists this transfer RNA (77 nucleotides) under Acholeplasmataceae bacterium. RNAcentral's name for it is "tRNA-Pro". It matches the Rfam family "tRNA". From Rfam's summary of the family: Transfer RNA (tRNA) molecules are approximately 80 nucleotides in length. The record is from RNAcentral. Lineage: Bacteria; Bacillati; Mycoplasmatota; Mollicutes; Acholeplasmatales; Acholeplasmataceae. RNAcentral also lists the same sequence under 2 other names.